GGUGGGUUGACAGAGUCUGGCUUAUUGUACUUGUCUUGAAAACAAGCGUGCCUUUAUCGGCACCGAAGGUUCGAAUCCUUCACCCACCGCCA
RNAcentral lists this transfer RNA (92 nucleotides) under Anaerolineales bacterium. Its description in RNAcentral is "tRNA-Ser". It matches the Rfam family "tRNA". From Rfam's summary of the family: Transfer RNA (tRNA) molecules are approximately 80 nucleotides in length. Lineage: Bacteria; Bacillati; Chloroflexota; Anaerolineae; Anaerolineales. The record is from RNAcentral.